GGCGGUAUGCUUAACACAUGCAAGUCGAACGGUGCUUUCGGGCACAGUGGCGGACGGGUGAGUAACGCGUGAGAAUCUGGCUCUAGGUCUGGGACAACCACUGGAAACGGUGGCUAAUACCGGAUGUGCCGAAAGGUGAAAGGUUAACUGCCUGGAGAUGAGCUCGCGUCUGAUUAGCUAGUAGGUGUGGUAAGAGCGCACCUAGGCGACGAUCAGUAGCUGGUCUGAGAGGACGAUCAGCCACACUGGGACUGAGACACGGCCCAGACUCCUACGGGAGGCAGCAGUGGGGAAUUUUCCGCAAUGGGCGAAAGCCUGACGGAGCAAUACCGCGUGAGGGAGGAAGGCUCUUGGGUCGUAAACCUCUUUUCUCAGGGAAGAACACAAUGACGGUACCUGAGGAAUAAGCAUCGGCUAACUCCGUGCCAGCAGCCGCGGUAAUACGGAGGAUGCAAGCGUUAUCCGGAAUGAUUGGGCGUAAAGCGUCCGCAGGUGGCUGUGUAAGUCUGCUGUUAAAGAGUCUAGCUCAACUAGAUAAAAGCAGUGGAAACUACACGGCUAGAGUACGUUCGGGGCAGAGGGAAUUCCUGGUGUAGCGGUGAAAUGCGUAGAGAUCAGGAAGAACACCGGUGGCGAAGGCGCUCUGCUAGGCCGUAACUGACACUGAGGGACGAAAGCUAGGGGAGCGAAUGGGAUUAGAUAC
Molecule: ribosomal RNA, 703 nt
Filed under: Nostoc sp. 13.14
Lineage: Bacteria; Bacillati; Cyanobacteriota; Cyanophyceae; Nostocales; Nostocaceae
Description: bacterial SSU rRNA
Rfam family: Bacterial small subunit ribosomal RNA
Source: RNAcentral